GUGCUGGCUUCGGCAGUACAUAUACUAAAAACUGGAAAGACAGGGAGAAGAUCGCAUGGCCCCUGUGCAAAGAUGACAUGCAAAUUCAUAAAGCAUUUCAUAUAUUU
Molecule: small nuclear RNA, 107 nt
Organism: Gorilla gorilla gorilla (western lowland gorilla)
Lineage: Eukaryota; Metazoa; Chordata; Mammalia; Primates; Hominidae
Source: Ensembl